CAGGGAACACACUCUACCCUAGGGCCAGGGAACUCCUCUGAGAGGCAGUUUUCCCUCCCCAGCAGCACUGGCUUUUUGCUGCAUGCCACAAAGUCAUAGGGGACAGAAAAUGGCACCAGGAACCAUUUCCCCAUUUCACACAGGAAACCAUGCCAAGACCAAUGCUCUACACAGCUGCUGGUGAUCUGGAAAAGCCAGUCAGGAGAAGCACAGUAGAUGGAGAAGCCCUGGCCCUGCAUCAUCACUCCCAAGCUGUGAACCACCAUCUGUAAAUCAGCAGAGCCAAGAGAGCUGUGCUCUGUUUCCACCACUGCCACAGGUUCUUUCAGAAGAUUAAUGAGGCAUCAAUCUCUCAAAGAAGUGAGAAAAAACACUGAACCUUUUAAGCCUUUGUAUUAUACACUUGG
Taeniopygia guttata (zebra finch) is the source of this 407-nucleotide non-coding RNA. NCBI's taxonomy places the organism in Eukaryota, Metazoa, Chordata, Aves, Passeriformes, Estrildidae. The record is from RefSeq and is a predicted model, not a curated record.